UAAGAAUUUAAAAGUCGAACAGACUUAUUAUUAAAGAAUACUACUUCUCAAAAUUUUCUUAAUUCAACAUCGAGGUCGCAAAAUAUAAUAUAGAUAUGAACUCCCCAUUAAAAUUACGCUGUUAUCCCUAAGGUAACUUAAUCUUGUAACCCUUAGAAAAGGAUCUAAAUUUACAUAAAUAAAUGAAAUCAAAAAUUAAAGUUUAAAUUUAAUUGCCUCCCCAGCAAAAUAUUAAUAAACCAAUUAAAAAAUUUAAUUAAUAAAAAUUAAUAAUAGGAAUUCAUAUAAAGUUCUACAGGGUCUUAUCGUCCCAAUAAAUAAAUAAAGCAUUUUAACUUUAAAUUUAAAUUUUAACAUUUAAAGAAAUAAAAUAUAAUUCUCAUACAUCCAUUCAUUCAAGCUUCCAAUUAAAAAACUAAUUACUAUGCUACCUUUGCACAGUCAAAUUACUGCAGCCAUUUAGAAAAUUAAACCAUAGGGCAGAAGGUACUUUUUAUAUAACCA
Molecule: ribosomal RNA, 504 nt
Filed under: Nesophrosyne sp. 21 GMB-2012
Lineage: Eukaryota; Metazoa; Arthropoda; Insecta; Hemiptera; Cicadellidae
Description: partial 16S ribosomal RNA
Source: RNAcentral